GAUGAAGAACGUAGCGAAAUGCGAUAAGUAAUGUGAAUUGCAGAAUUCAGUGAAUCAUCGAAUCUUUGAACGCACAUUGCGCCCAUUAGUAUUCUAGCGGGCAUGCCUGUUCGAGCGUCAUUUCAACCCUUAAGCCCUGUGCUUGUGUUGGAGCCCUGCGGCUGCCGCAGGCUCCCAAACCCAGUGGCGGGCUCGUCGUCGUACCGAGUGCAGUAAACAUACCACGCUCAGGGCACGCGACGGGUGACCGGCCGUAAAACCCCCCCCCUUCUCAAGGUUGACCUCGGAUCAGGUAGGAAUACCCGCUGAACUUAAGCAUAUCAAUAAGCGGAGGA
RNAcentral lists this unclassified non-coding RNA (335 nucleotides) under soil metagenome. RNAcentral's name for it is "partial contains 5.8S ribosomal RNA, internal transcribed spacer 2, and large subunit ribosomal RNA". The stretch from base 1 to 120 matches the Rfam family "5.8S ribosomal RNA", at positions 35 to 154 of the family's 154-position model. The record is from RNAcentral.